Molecule: small RNA, 409 nt
Filed under: Arabidopsis thaliana (thale cress)
Lineage: Eukaryota; Viridiplantae; Streptophyta; Magnoliopsida; Brassicales; Brassicaceae
Description: ATSL275790
Source: RNAcentral
GAAAAAUUUCAGAAAAUGAUUUCACAAAAACAGUGUUCAUGUAGUUGCAUUGCAUUUAGGAUCGAGUCUAGAGUGUUUCAUUUAGGAUUGUUACAUAUGCAUAGGAGAUAAUGAUGAGAUAGCCUUAUAAGCAUUUUGGUUCACCAGAUAAACUCAGUGCCCUCGUUGUUAGUUGUCUGAUGCGUAGUCAAUGAAAUCGAAGUAAAACAGCACCAUGCCUACAUUGCUCUACUCGACCAUACUGUUAGGAUCUGAUACCAUUCCCUAUCAAUUUGAACUUGAAUCUGAUUUAGAAUUAUCAUGUCUUGGCAUCGAAUUAGAACUCAUGGAUACCCUAAAAUACUUGGAUUUUCUUACUCAUUUUAACCACUCUUGUUAGUCCAAGUGGCUCACUCUCCUUUUUAGAGCA